RNAcentral lists this ribosomal RNA (253 nucleotides) under uncultured bacterium. RNAcentral's name for it is "partial 16S ribosomal RNA". It matches the Rfam family "Bacterial small subunit ribosomal RNA", at positions 524 to 776 of the family's 1533-position model. The record is from RNAcentral.
UACGUAGGGUGCAAGCGUUGUCCGGAAUUAUUGGGCGUAAAGAGCUCGUAGGCGGUCUGUCACGUCGGCUGUGAAAUCCCGAGGCUCAACCUCGGGUCUGCAGUCGAUACGGGCAAACUAGAGUAUUGCAGGGGAGACUGGAAUUCCUGGUGUAGCGGUGAAAUGCGCAGAUAUCGGGAAGAACACCCGUGGCGAAGGCGGCACUCUGGGACGGUACUGACGCUGAGACGCGAAAGCGUGGGGAGCGAACAGG